AGGUUAACUGAAUAAGGGAGCCGAAGGGAAACCGAGUCUUAACUGGGCGUUGAGUUGCAAGGUAUAGACCCGAAACCCGGUGAUCUAGCCAUGGGCAGGUUGAAGGUUGGGUAACACUAACUGGAGGACCGAACCGACUAAUGUUGAAAAAUUAGCGGAUGACUUGUGGCUGGGGGUGAAAGGCCAAUCAAACCGGGAGAUAGCUGGUUCUCCCCGAAAUCUAUUUAGGUAGAGCCUUGAGCGGACACCUUCGGGGGUAGAGCGCUGUUUCGGCUAGGGGUCCAUCCCGGAUUACCAACCCGAUGCAAACUGCGAAUACCGAAGAGUGAUACUCAGGAGACACACGGCGGGUGCUAACGUCCGUCGUGGAGAGGGAAACAACCCAGACCGCCAGCUAAGGUCCCCAAGUCUAUAUUAAGUGGGAAACGAAGUGGGAAGGCUUAGACAGCUAGGAUGUUGGCUUAGAAGCAGCCACCAUUUAAAGAAAGCGUAAUAGCUCACUAGUCGAGUCGGCCUGCGCGGAAGAUGUAACGGGGCUCAAAUAUAGCACCGAAGCUGCGGCUUUCAGAGGACAGAUUACAGAAGACAGAGGACAGAGAAAUGAUGAUUGAACAUCGAAUAAAAGAUUACAGCGAUUUAACGGUGUGGCAGUUAGCUUACAAAAUGUCAUUAGAAAUACAUCAAGUAAGUUUAAGUUUACCGAAAAUAGAACAGUUAGAGCUAGGUAAUCAAAUGCGAAGAGCAAGUAAAGGCAUCUGUGCAAACCUUGCAGAAGGCUUUGGAAAACAAAGUGUAAGUAAAGCAGAAUUUAAACGCUUUAUCUUAAUGGCAAUGGGCAGUGCAGAUGAAAUGCGAGUGUGGCUAAUGUAUAGCAGAGAUUUAGGAUAUCUGAGUCAAGAAAGGUAUCAGUAUUUUGAAGCAAAUUACCGCAAUAUCGCUAAAAUGCUAAACGGCUUACAUAAAAGCUGGCAAUAAUCAUUUUUCUGUCAUCCGUCUUCUGUCAUCUGUCCUCUGACAGGGUAGGGGAGCGUUGUGUAAGCCGAUGAAGGUGGAUUGAGAAGUCUGCUGGAGGUAUCACAAGUGCGAAUGCUGACAUAAGUAACGAUAAAACG
Molecule: ribosomal RNA, 1112 nt
Filed under: Pasteurella felis
Lineage: Bacteria; Pseudomonadati; Pseudomonadota; Gammaproteobacteria; Pasteurellales; Pasteurellaceae
Description: [Haemophilus] felis partial 23S ribosomal RNA
Rfam family: Bacterial large subunit ribosomal RNA
Source: RNAcentral